UAUGUCCUGCAAGCUUAGGGGUGCUACAAGUUGACCACUGCAGCAGUAAAGAUGACUCUGAAGAAUGGCGUGGGAUGGUUCCUUUCAAAUGCACUUGAGCAGCGGUCUCCAACCACAGGGCCACAGAGCUGGAGCUGGAUCUACCAUGAAAGACUUGUGAAUCCAGGAAGAGAGACUGACUGGGCAACAUGUUAUUCAGGUGGGAACAUCCAGUUGCGGGAAAACAAGCUUAACACGCCCACUGAUUCUACAUUAUGCUCCUACCUCCCGGCAGCCUCUCCAGGCCCAGAACUUUCUCCAGUCAGCCUCUACAGACCAAGCUCAUGACUCACAAUGGCCUAUUUAGGCCCAUACCCUACGUCACGGCAGCCUCCGCAGAUGAGCCUACUGCCUCACAACAGCCUCCACAGGCACAGCUCCAUCGUUACAAUGGCCUCUUUAGACCCAGCUCCUGCCUCCCAGCCUUCUCUCCAGGCUCUGAACUUUCUCAGGUCUCCCUCUGUUGUCCAAGGCUGGAGUGUAGUAGUGCUAUCGCAGCUGACUGC
RNAcentral lists this long non-coding RNA (545 nucleotides) under Homo sapiens (human). RNAcentral's name for it is "novel transcript". The record is from RNAcentral. Lineage: Eukaryota; Metazoa; Chordata; Mammalia; Primates; Hominidae.